GACGAACGCUGGCGGCGCGCUUAACACAUGCAAGUCGAACGGAAAGGCCUGCUUUCCCUUGCGGAUUGGGGGUAGUCGAGUGGCGAAGGGGUGAGUAACACGCGAGUGAUCUGCCCCCAACUUGGGUAUAAGCCUGGGAAACUGGGUCUAAUUCUCGAUAGGACUGCAGGGUGGUGCCUGUGGUGGCAAACGAUCUUUUAGUGGUUGGGGUUGCGCUCGCGUCGUAUCAGCUUGUUGGUGGGGUAAUCGCCUACCAAGGCGGCGACGCGUACCCGGCCUGUGAUCGGGCACGCCCACAUUGAGACUCGGUCACGGCCCCUACUCCUACCAGAAGCAGCAGUGGGGAAGAAUGCGCAAUAAGCGGGAGGCAGAUGCAGCGACUCAGCGUGGGGGGUGACCGCCUUCUGGUUGUCUGCUCCUUUCGACCGCGAGAAAGCCACCUGGUUGGGAGGGUGGUGACGGUAGUGGUAGAAGAAGCCCCGGCUAACUACGUG
Molecule: ribosomal RNA, 494 nt
Filed under: uncultured bacterium
Lineage: Bacteria
Description: partial 16S ribosomal RNA
Rfam family: Bacterial small subunit ribosomal RNA
Source: RNAcentral